RNAcentral lists this unclassified non-coding RNA (314 nucleotides) under plant metagenome. RNAcentral describes it as "partial contains 5.8S ribosomal RNA, internal transcribed spacer 2, and large subunit ribosomal RNA". The stretch from base 1 to 105 matches the Rfam family "5.8S ribosomal RNA", at positions 50 to 154 of the family's 154-position model. The record is from RNAcentral.
GAAAUGCGAUAAUUAAUGUGAAUUGCAGAAUUCAGUGAAUCAUCGAGUCUUUGAACGCACAUUGCGCCCCCUGGUAUUCCGGGGGGCAUGCCUGUCCGAGCGUCAUUGCUGCCCUCAAGCACGGCUUGUGUGUUGGGCUUCCGUCCCUGGCAACGGGGACGGGCCCAAAAGGCAGUGGCGGCACCAUGUCAGGUCCUCGAGCGUAUGGGGCUUUGUCACCCGCUCCCGUAGGUCCAGCUGGCAGCUAGCCUCGCAACCAAUCUUUUUAACCAGGUUGACCUCGGAUCAGGUAGGGAUACCCGCUGAACUUAAGC